GCUCGUCUGGAACAGUGGAGAGACGAGAAGAGGCGUUGGAACAUACGUUUGUGAUCAUCGGGUUACAAUAACGCUGAUGGAGCUUGUUCAUUUUAACCGUUUGGCUUCAACACAAAGAAAAAUGUUCUUUUUUUACGUUAUUUAUUAACAUUUGAUUUCAUCACAAACAAUAACUCCUCUUCAUUUAUGGAGUGGAACUUAGCUCUUUUAAUACAUUAAUUUAUUUAUAUAAUGAUGAACAAAAAAAUUUAUUUUAAAAUAGUUUUGACAGCUUAGAUUAAACAGCUGGUGAUAAAGUUUGUAACAGCUGGUUUUUAUCUUCUCCAGUAAAACCGGUCGGACAUCCAAACUGGGAGUGAAACCACUGAUAUGGAGCGAUGUAGACGCGCUGGCAGUUUUCCCAGAGCCAAAAACAGACCAGACAGGUCCACAUUCUUCACUCCCAACAUUAUUUCCAUGACGACAGCCAGAUCUUCCUCCCGGAUUUCUCCUCUCUCGUUCUCAUACAUCUACGUGUUAAAAUGCUGUUUCAGCAUCAGUCAGCCUCCAUCACACCAGAGUCACUGGUCAAGUUCUCACCUCAAAGGCCAGUUUAAGAGUCUCAAAGGAUUUAGGAGGCCGGAGUACCGUAGACAGAGCGACGAUGUAAUGUCUGAUGUCCAUCUGUCCAUCUUCACUCUACAUACAGUAUUAUACCAGUGAGCAAACAGGUAAGGAAGCUCUCUGACCUCAUCAGGAAAUGUUAUUUGCUUAUAAAUAAUCAUUAAUAUGUCAUCUAAAAUCUAGAUGUGUAUUUUAGCUUUCUAAACAUUUCGAUGCAGGGGUUUCCCAUCUAACAAGGUUUAAAACAUGUAUUUAUGAUGCUGAACUCUAUAGAGGGUGGAAGCAGCUUCACCCUGUUUGGUUCUGACCCGGGGUUCUGCCAGCUGACCGCUUCCUAAGGAUCUCAGAGCCCUGCUGGGCGUAUACACAGGAACGAGAUCUAGUGUGUAUUUUGGCCCCAUGCCACUGAGUGAUUUAUAAACUAGUAGUAGCACUUUGAAAUCAAUUCAGUAGAUUACUGGUAACCAGUGUAGAGACUUAACAGGAGUGAACGGUUAUCUUGGUUCUUGUUGAGACUCUAGCAGCAGCAUUCUGAAUAAGCUGUCGUUCAAAACUUGUUCUGAAAACAGUUCUCAUGAUCACUUGAUUUUCUUGUUUCUUUAUUAGUGUCUGCAGUCUGUCAGAACUCCAUCUGAAUUUUAAGCGCAGCCCGACUACAAGCACGCUUUACCUCACCUACAUUCAUCAACCAUCAUGAUGAUCGGUGUUGUACGCGGUCAAUCAUUCAGCUGCAGCAGUCCAUUUAGACGUUUAACUGAAAACUUCUUUGCAAUAUCAGACCUCUGUCUGUACUUGUUUAAAAAAUGCAACGUAAUUCAAUUAAACAUCCUCUUUUAAGAUCAGAAACUAAUCAAUUCAAAUUUUUUUCCUAAAGUUCAAGUACAGAAUCUUUAACUCAAAGUAUGGGCUUGGGCACGUUAAACACAGGUCUUAAGACUAUGGUGGGCACUUAAUGCACUGUAAUUUUUUAUCGUGCGAUUGUAAUUUUUCCUCAUGUAUUCCCUCAUUCAUCUACAAAGGAGCGCCGUCAUGGCUGCUCCCAUGGUCUGCCUGUAUCUGUCCUGUCUAUAUGUGUGUGUGUAACCUUGGUCAGGUUGUACUAUGGAGUCAAGUUCCUAUGCUCUGAUCUGAUCUGAGCUCUGGCAAUAAAAUUCAUUCUGAUUC
Molecule: non-coding RNA, 1767 nt
Organism: Nothobranchius furzeri (turquoise killifish)
Lineage: Eukaryota; Metazoa; Chordata; Actinopteri; Cyprinodontiformes; Nothobranchiidae
Source: RefSeq, a predicted model, not a curated record